RNAcentral lists this ribosomal RNA (473 nucleotides) under uncultured bacterium. RNAcentral's name for it is "bacterial SSU rRNA". It matches the Rfam family "Bacterial small subunit ribosomal RNA", at positions 328 to 793 of the family's 1533-position model. The record is from RNAcentral.
CUCUGUGACUCCUACGGGAGGCAGCAGUGGGGAAUAUUGCACAAUGGGGGAAACCCUGAUGCAGCCAUGCCGCGUGUGUGAAGAAGGCCUUCGGGUUGUAAAGCACUUUCAGUAGGGAGGAAGGUAGUGUAGUUAACACCUGCAUUAUUUGACGUUACCUACAGAAGAAGCACCGGCUAACUCCGUGCCAGCAGCCGCGGUAAUACGGAGGGUGCGAGCGUUAAUCGGAAUUACUGGGCGUAAAGCGCAUGCAGGCGGCCUGUUAAGUCAGAUGUGAAAGCCCGGGGCUUAACCUCGGAAUUGUAUUUGAAACUGGCAGGCUAGAGUCUUGUAGAGGGGGUAGGAAUUUCAGGUGUAGCGGUGAAAUGCGUAGAGAUCUGAAGGAAUACCAGUGGCGAAGGCGGCCCCCUGGACAAAGACUGACGCUCAGAUGCGAAAGCGUGGGGAGCAAACAGGAUUAGAUACCCUGGUAG